UUUUUUAUUUCUAGUAAAAAUACUAUUGAACCAGUAAAAGAUGCCAGCAGUAUGAAUACUAGCAGUAUGCUGGCUCAGAGUGAUGAUGAUACAAAGAGUGAAGAAACAUCCACUGACCGAGCCACUGAUGCUGUUUCACAAGGUGAUACAAAUGGCAGCAAAGAAGAAAAACCAUGAAAAAAGCUAAAGCUGGAAGGAGAAGACGGACCAACCCAGAGGUGCCGUUUGCUGCUGCUUUAGAGAAGAUUGUUAAUAAACUGAGUGCUGUUCAAGAGUAUUGGCCUUUUUGUAAGCCAGUUUCCUCAAAAGAUGUGCCUGACUAUUAUAAUUUGAUAAAGUUUCCAAUGGAUCUUCAGACCAUGAAAGAUGUAAA
Molecule: long non-coding RNA, 373 nt
Organism: Amphimedon queenslandica
Lineage: Eukaryota; Metazoa; Porifera; Demospongiae; Haplosclerida; Niphatidae
Exons: 4
Source: RefSeq, a predicted model, not a curated record